GAUCCUGGCUCAGGACGAACGCUGGCGGCGCGCCUAACACAUGCAAGUCGAACGAGAGAAGAAGAGCUUGCUUUUCUGAUCGAGUGGCGAACGGGUGAGUAACGCGUGAGGAACCUGCCUCAAAAGAGGGGGACAACAGUUGGAAACGACUGCUAAUACCGCAUAAGCCCACGGCUCGGCAUCGAGCAGAGGGAAAAGGAGCAAUCCGCUUUGAGAUGGCCUCGCGUCCGAUUAGCUAGG
RNAcentral lists this ribosomal RNA (240 nucleotides) under uncultured bacterium. Its description in RNAcentral is "partial 16S ribosomal RNA". It matches the Rfam family "Bacterial small subunit ribosomal RNA", at positions 15 to 249 of the family's 1533-position model. The record is from RNAcentral.